AAAGUGACGUGUCGAACAAGUGCAGUGAAAGAGCUUUAAAUACAAACAAAGAUCACAUAAGAAGUUGCAAAAGCAAUAAUCAGGUCAAUGACCAUAAAUAUAUAAAUACUUAUACAUAUAUACAUACGAAGCUCAAAUUAUACGUGUGUGCACAGCAAAGGAGGAGCAAGGAGGUGACGCUGAAAUUGGUGGAGGUUUAUGGAUUUAGAAUUGGUGUAAUAUAGGCUAGGAUAUUAGUCCAAACGUCGGUGGGAGGCGUGGCUGCUACCACCGGCGGGCACAGCGAGAUUUCGAGCUGUGUCGCCAGCGGCCGCACCUCCACUGCAGCGGGAGCAGGUUGCAGUGGUUGUACUGUUACUGCCAAACCAAUUCUACGUCGCACCGGUGCCGCAGUCCACGAAGACUCGGACCAGGAAAGCGCCGUAAGUAUAAAUACGGAAAAGGAGGAUGAACUUCUUCGCUCUCCGGAGCUAUCGACCGAGGGUUCCAACUCUGGCAACAAGAGAGGGCCCCGGAAGAAGCCAAGCAAGGAGGGGUUGAAGGCAAAGGCGCGAUAUAAAGCGGCGGUCGGGAUUUGCAACCGACUCCAAGGCAAGCCUAACCUGAAGGAGGAGGAAGAGAAAAGGUUGACUUGGGCCAGAGAGGAGGUAAAGAACGGCCGAGCUCACUUCGCCACUCGUAAUUGGUGCAAUGCUUCAGACCCAGCGUUUGCGAAUCGCAUUGAGGAGCAUAUUGCGGAGACGAGGCAGCGCUCUACGGAGGGUGAAACGAGGGCACCAACGAAAAGGAGGAGAUGCAAAGACGCAGCCAAGAAGCUAGACGUCAGGCAUACGGACGAGAAGCCGAUAACGUCCAAAGCAGCGGCGGCGGUCAAUGAGAUUGCGAGGCGACACCUGAUCGUUGCGCUCAUCGAUCGCAGCAACCCGCUGGUACAGAUGUCUCAAGAGCGGUGGAAAACAGUGGAGAUGAAGCUGUUGGAAGCCCUCUUCGCACGGAUGGACUCCGAUCCAAGCGCACCCAUGCCAACUUUCGAUGGAGCGGAAAUGAUCCUGAAAUGUAAGGACGACCCGUCGUUGACAUGUGUGAAAGAGGCUGUAAAAACGCUUCCGAACCUAUGGGAAAACGCCAAAUUGGAGGUGGUGGACCGUAGCAGCAUUCCUUCGGUGCCCAAAGCGAAGGUUAUUAUACCUAGUGUGGUAGACCCGAAUCAUGCUCUGCUCUGUUGCUGCAAAGACAAAACCCGGACAUUCCGACUAGCGACUGGAGGGUACUAAGCGUGACGAAAUCUUCAAACGAAGACGGAGGCCAAAGCUAUAUCCUUCAGAUUAAUAAAGCGGCGGACGACAUACUCUAUGCGAGGUUCGGGAAGAUGGCAUGGGGCGUUGGUAGCGUGUACCUUCGCCUCAAAAAGCGCCACCCCGCGGACGGCAACGAGAACACUCUAGAAAAAGGGUGAAGUGGAGAAGGAUCUCGGCAUCGAAGAGAUCAUGGCGACUUCACUGGUCUUACAGGAGGUGGAGAGGGCACCUACCCAGCAAUCCGAUGGCGCUGAGCUGAGGGUACUUCAGGUGAACCUCCACAAGAGUAGGAUCGCCUCAGCCGAGCUGCUUCUCAAUUUAGAGAAGGACGGCUACGACGUGGCUCUAGUCCAGGAACCAUGGAUAGCUUUGGGAAACGUGGUCUCUGGGCUAAAGUCCAAAAACUUUAUAACAUACAUCCCGAGCGUAACCAACAGGAUGACCUAACGGUGGUGGGUGUAAAGGGUGUCAAGGAUGAGCUCAUACUCCUUGCAUCCUGCUACAUGCCACACGAUAGCGAGGCGCAAACGGCGGAGCUCCAUAGACUGGCGGCUACAUCCAGUGACAGGAGGCAGGCGCUGGUGGUGGGCGCCGACGCCAACGCCCAUCAUACGCUUUGGGGAAGCCCAGACAUAAACCAGAGAGUUGAGUCACUAUUCAACUUUAUCAUUCAAAGUAGUUUAGCGCUAGCCAAUCGAGGUGAGGAACCUACAUUAUACCUACUUCUUAUAUAGGACCCACAUCAAAAAACAUUUUAGACAUUACUCUAUUUACAAGUAGAGGUGAAUUGGUGGGGAACUGGAAGGUGUUAGGUACACCAUCUUUCUCUGAUCAUUGGUACAUCUACUACUCCAUUCGAUCGAAAGCUAAAAUAAGAGGAGUAGGUAGAAGGGUUCUCAGAAGGGCAAAUUGGGACCUCUACAGACGGAUAUUAUUGUGUAAGAGACUCAGACCUUGCACUUUUAACUCUCACAAAGAACUAGAGGAGGGCGUAAACCUAUUUACAAAUGCUCUCAACAAGGCAUUCCAAUCCGCGUGUCCUCAAUUACAGCUGAGGCAAAACACAAAGCCCCCCUGGCGGAACAAGGAACUCGGCUCCUGCAGACGCAAGGUACGAUAGAUGUUCAACUGGGCCAAAAUAGCAGAGAAUGAUGAAUGCUAUGGUAAAUAUAAAGAUCUGCUAAGAGACUACAAAAAGCUAUUGCUUAGGACCAAACGUGAGUCCUGGAAAAGCUUUUGUGGCAAGUUUGAAAAGACCAAUGAGGUGGCAAGGCUCAGGAAGCUGUUAUCCAAGAGUCCCGCUCCACCUGGUCUGAUUCGCAAAAUUGACGGGGAAUGGACGCACAAUUGUGAGGACUCGUUAGAGGACCUUGUCAGAGUGCACUUCCCAGGCUGUAAGAAUAGAGUCACUCCUGAGUGUGUAGGGGAACGUCCAGCCCAUUCAAAUCCCCAGGUAAGAAUGGAAUCAUCCCAUCCAUGCUACAAAAUAUACCACGGUUGGUUGUGCCGUGGUUAAAAACGAUUUUUAGAGAAUGCCUAAGGUUCGGGUAUGUGCCGCACUCGUGGAGAGAGGCUAGGGUAGUGUUCAUUCCAAAGGCAGGUAAGAACAACCCAACCUACUCAAAGGAGUUUAGGCCCAUAAGCUUAACCUCUUUCCUUCUGAAAACAUUAGAGAAAAUUAUUGACAUAUAAUUUAAGGGACGCGCCGCCCCCUGGCAGCCUGUCCAAGGCACAGCAUGCGUAUACUAAAGGCAGAUCUGUAGAGACUACACUCCAUUCACUAGUAUUUAACAUCGAAAAGGCCCUGGAAUAUAAAGAUUAUGCUCUCGGAGCUUUUCUGGACAUUUCCGGUGCAUUCAACAACGUUUCAACGGAAGCCAUUCUGAAUGGCAUCGAGUCUAUAGGAGUUGAACCAGCCUUACGGCACUGGGUAAAAAGCCUCCUGACUUCUAGAAGGAUAACGGCAGAAUGGAACGAUGCCAGAACGACCAAGGAAGUUGGUAGGGGAACUCCGCAGGGCGGGGUACUUUCUCCGCUCCUUUGGACACUGGUCGUGAAUAAUCUGUUGAAAAACUUCGAAGGUAAAGCUCCCAAGAUAAUAGCGUAUGCGGACGACAUUGCCAUAGUAAUAACAGGAAAGUGUCUGCAUACUAUUAGCAACAUUAUGACCAGCACACUAAAUACUGUCCAAAAUUGGGCAACACAAGUAGGCCUAGGGUUGAAUGCGGAAAAAACCGAUCUGCAUCUGUUUACAAGGAAAUACAAAAUCCCUCAAUGGAGGUUCCCCUCGCUAAACGGAACAGAACUAUAACCAAAGGACCGCACUAAGUACCUAGGAGUCGUCUUGGACAGUAAGUUACUGUGGAAGCACAAUGUGGAAGAAACGGUAAGAAAGGCUAGUAAUGCUCUUUAAGCAUGCAGGCAGUUGCAAGGCACUACCUGUGGGCUUUCUCCCUCUCUCAUGACUGGUGCUACACAGCGAUAGUGAGACCAAUCCUGCUCUAUGGUGCUAUUGUGUGGUGGACAGGUUUAAAGAAGUCAACUUACAGAAAGCCAAUGGAAAGGGUUCAGCGAUUCGCAGCGCUCUGUAUAACGGGAGCUCUGAGAACCACCCCUACGGCAGCUCUUGAACGGAUACUUAACCUGCCGCCGAUAGAUCUCUUUGCCGAAACUUAUGCGGCAAAAUCUGCGGGGCGACUACUGGCGGGAGGAGAAUUUACGCAUCGAACUUUUGGGCACAGCUCGGUGGGUAGGGGCGGUUUGGCAAGUACCGACUACUUGACCCCACUCAUGAACUGGGAAAGAAUAUUCCGGGUGAACCUGGAAAAAGACGGCUGGCGUGAGGGAAUGAUAACCUCACGCAGCACAUUGAAUAUCUACACGGAUGGCUCGAAAAUGGAGGACGGGGUAGGUGCUGGAAUAUACUAUCAGGAGUUAGGUGUAAUGCAGCCUUUUAAACUUCCGAACCACUGCAGUAUUGCUAUUGGGAAAGCCGCGGAGCUAGUCCUCAAUACAGCAGCCGGCUACUCCAAAGUCAAUAUCUACGUAGACAGUCAAGCAGCAAUUAAGGCAACAACCUCGGUUUGCAUUUCGGCCAAAAGUGUCUUGGAUACCAGGAUGGCAGUGGAGAGAGUUGCCAGGAACAGGACAAAAAGACAUUGAAGGCAACGAGAUUGUGGACGAAAUUGCCAAAAAUGGUGUAAAACUGUCUUCCGGAAACGCGAAUAACAUUGGCAAACCCAUGCACUGUCUGUUCGAUGAUCUGGACAGGGGCAUGAAAAGAAAAAUCCUAACACGUUGGACAAAUAUACCGGGGUGUAAAACCGCUAAAGCCAUGUGUAAAACCGUAGACCAGAAGUACACCAAACUCAUUCUGUCACUCGAUAGAAGGGACUGUAGGAGUGUGGUGGGAAUACUCACAGGUCACUGUCUGGUGGCGGCACAUGCCUACAAAGUGGGACUUACAGAUCGAGAUAAAAGCAGGAAAUGCCAAGAGCAAGGUGCAAUAGAAACAAUGAAGCAUCUUCUGUGUACCUGCCCUGCAUUGUCAAGGCAGCGACUUCGCUACUUGGGAACCUCACAAUAUGAGAAUCUGGAAGAGAGAAAAUCCGCGUCAAGUGCAGGUAUGCUAAAGGAUGACUACUCCUCGUGGACAACAUGACGGCACUCCAUCUGGUAUCGCAAAGGACCUAAAUAGGUCUAUGUGUGGCGUAUUGGCCUACCUAAUAUUUAAAAAUUAAUCUAUAAUGAUAAUUAAAAAUUUAAAAUAUUAAACAUUACUAAUCUAUAAAUGUAAAUACAUCAUACAAUUAUAAUAAAUAAAUA
This is a long non-coding RNA of Zeugodacus cucurbitae (melon fly), 5123 nucleotides long. RefSeq lists it as uncharacterized. The record is from RefSeq and is a predicted model, not a curated record. NCBI's taxonomy places the organism in Eukaryota, Metazoa, Arthropoda, Insecta, Diptera, Tephritidae. The transcript is spliced from 4 exons.